Amphiprion ocellaris (clown anemonefish) is the source of this 5124-nucleotide long non-coding RNA. RefSeq lists it as uncharacterized. The transcript is spliced from 3 exons. NCBI's taxonomy places the organism in Eukaryota, Metazoa, Chordata, Actinopteri, Pomacentridae. The record is from RefSeq and is a predicted model, not a curated record.
GCAGCCGUGCUGAUGGCGCACAGAUGUGUGGUCUGUAGCACCCAGAUUCAUGAGCAUCAGAACAUGGUGUGGACAUGCUUCCUGACCAGAGUCCUUGCUAUGUCCAGCUGCUUCAUCCAAGGCUUCUCUGUGAAGCUUUCCAGGAUUUAGAGGACAUCUUUGGUUGAUUGAAGCCAUCUAUGAGCAAUGUUUUCCCCAGUCUGGCUUUAAAGGCAGCACCGUUGUAAUGGCAUCGAUUGGAAGCAGCUCUCUCUUUCCCUGAACUUACCCAGCGUUUUAUUUGGAGGUGGCCUUGGACUGUUAAUCUAUGGCCUUGGAGGCAACCUUGAAGGAACUCCACCCACCCGUCCCACGUGUCCAAACGGAGAAUGGUGCCUGCAGCAAACACAAUUGGAUGCAUUAUAAAGUAAUUCAGCACUGUAGAAACCGAGACAUGAUGCCAUUUCCAGCCUUUUUAGUGAAAUAAUUACACAUAUUAUUAAAUUGUUCACAAAUAUUUUAGAUAAUUAGCUACAGGCCCAUGAUGAAAACAAACAUAAAUCCUAGUAGAGCUGCACAGAAAGAAAGGUAGCCGUACCCAUUUUAAUGGCGUAGUCCUGCAGCCAGUUGCAGUCAUAGAGUUGCACAUUAGCAGGUGUUCUGAGCCUGAACGUGCUGACUGGUAUCCCACACUGAACAGAUAUCAGGGUCGUCAGUUUGUCCACAGACGUAUGAAGAAGAGACUCAGUUCCUUCUAUUGGUGAAGUUUCUCCUGUCACAGUAUUAAACACGCACAUCACAGGCCUUUGUUCAGUCUGAGAAGUAAUCAGAAUGACACAGAGACAAGUAAGGAAACAGUGUUACAGCAUCAAAGAUCAGCAGUGAUGAAAGAGAUAUUUUGAUCUUUUACCCAGGUAAAAACAGAAAUACUACAAAUAUUACACCAAACACACUUCAAACCUUUCUUGAAUGAAAAUAUGUCAGAAUUACAAAGACAGUGUAUUUAAAAUAUGAAAGUGAAAAUAUUGCAUAUCAAAAUGGGCUCUGCCGCUGUUCUAUUUUUAUAUGUCAUGCUAUAGUCAUAUGUUACACGGAUGCAGUAAGAAGUAUCAAAGCUGCCUGAAGUAGCACUGAUUUUACAAAUUUUGUGUACAAAAAGGGGGCUAAAUUCAUUGUAUAUUUUGGUAUAUUUUAUAUAGGUCACUAUAUGGUUACAGGUUUUUAAAAGUCCUAAUCAAAAAAAUAUGACCAUGUGAAAUUGAAAUACUUAAGUACCUUAGAAUUGCACUUAAGUGAAGUACUUAAAUACAUUUACUUAGUUACUUUACCCCACUGAGGUUCAAUAUUUACUUCAAAAGGUAUGACUGGCAGUAUAAUUCAGACCUACAUUAGUCAAACUCUCAUUUCCAUUACAUUUUGAGCAUAUUAAAUUGUACUUCAUUUGUUUUCAAGCACAAUUUAAGGAUUAGAUGACCACUACAUACCGAGCAUAGACAUAUAACUCACAAUAUAAUAAUAGAAAUAACAGCUUGCAAUUAAUAAUUUAUUACCAAGCAAGAUAUUUUAAAGCACAGACUACUCACGUCUGUAAUUCAAAGUCAGUUGUUAUUUUUUAAAUCUAAUUAUAUGGUCAGUAUCGACCUCUUUUUUUAAAGCUCAUAUCUAACAAAAGUUGAACACAAGGAGGAAUUGCCAAACAAUAUAUCACUGUAAUAGUUAUCAUGUAAUGAUCGAGUUUGCUGCCACUCUAGUGGACAUUUUAUAUAAUCACAGAUUUACUUACAAAUAUUUUUUAAUUAAAUAGAUGCGAUUGUCAUUACUGAUCCGUCUAUGACUUUUAGAAUCACCCUUUCCAAUGAGAAAAUGUAUCUUUGAGUGAACAAAAGAAGUGAAACAUCACAGCAAAGUAAAACAGAGAAGGGCAUGCAGAAGUAUAGAGAGUGAAAUUUGACUGAAACAUCAUGCAAAACAAAUAUUUUUAUGAGAGGGUGUAACAUGAAGAAAGCUAAACAUAUUCACAUAUCCUUUGUAAAAAGGUGAUGAGCUCGGAGGAUCUUGUUUCACGUUGUUACAGGGAUUUGACAUAAAAUCUGGACACUGUAAAACAGAUGUCUUUGAUUAGAAAUAAUCCCUAGUACUGAAUAUGUAUGCAGGAAGAUACUAAUUUUAGCAUCUCUAAAGUAAAAGGAUUAAGAAUAGUGUGUUUUUGAAGUAUGCUGUCAGUGAGUUCGGAGCUUGCAGAUGCCUGAAUGUAUAGUUCCAGUAAAAAAAGACUCCUGUGACAGUAAGCAUAAGCUCUGCUGAACUGUUGUUUAGUAAGAUUCUAAAUAUUCAGCAGUUCCAGGAAUCAAAGUUAUAUUUAAUCUCCUUGAACAUUUAUGUAAGUGAAAAAUUUAUUUGGAUCUCAGAAAAAGAAGAAGUAAGUCUGAAGAAGGUUUUUGAAGUAUCUGAAAAUUAUGGAAACAUUAGCAAUAAAGUUUUCCAUAUUUCUAUAUACAACAGUAUUCUGAAUUUAAACAUGUACUCUUUGUUUUGUUUUUAUGCAAAAUGUUUUUAUUGUCAGUACUCCUCUGUAAUAAUUUAAAUAAAACAUAGAAACGGUGAAGUGAAGCAUUAGUGCAGGAAUUAAAUGUGCAUCUCUGUGUGACAGUUAAGCUGAUUGUGUUUAAAGCAAAUCCCGAUGCAGCUAAAAAAAUCUAAAUCCUUUUAUAUUUUAAUACCUUUAUGAAGCAUUGGAUGACACUGCCACUUGUGAUGGCCACAUCACUCAGAGCCCAGCUGUCGUGCAGCGCUGCGCCUCCAUAACUUAGCUCCAAGUAUUGUCUGACCUGCUGGUUAUCAGACAGCUGCACAAGAAAGUUGCUCUGCAGAAAAGAGUGGAAAUUUAGGGAGGCAUGGGACAGUACAGACCAAGGAACAAAAACUUAUUGGUUCAUUUUCAGUGUCUGCAGAUGCAUAUGCCAUACUGCCAGUAUCAUAUUCAGAGUAUUGACACUGAAAUGCAAAUGGAAAAUGUAGUGCACUGUAUAUGACACAUUACAAGCAACUUUAAACGAAAGAUAUAAUAAAUCCAUCAAUCAUCUAUCCAUCCAUCCAUUCUAUACAUAUAGGAUCAGCUGACUUAGGGCGAAGGCAGAGUUUACCCUGGACAGGUCACCGUUUCAUCACAGGGCUACACAUAGAGACAAACAACCAAGCACACUCAUGUGCACAUUCACAAUUCAGAAUCAACAAUUAACCUCAGCAUGUCUUUAGCCUGUGGGAGGAAGCCGAAAAACCUGGUGACAACAUGCAAACUCCACACAGAAACACCCCAGGCUGAGAUUCAAACCCAAGACCUUCUGGUUGCACUACUGCACCACUGUGCUGCUCUCCAUCAAUCAUUUCCCCUCCAUUAAGACAUCCAAAUUAUCAGGCAGAUAAUCAAAUGCAAGUCAGAAUUUGUCAAAAAUUUGUUAACAGAGGAGGCCCUGAGCUACAACUUUUACGUUUAUUACCUUCACCAUCUGCUUCAAGGCCAUCACAGUCUGAUAAGGGGGGACGUCCAAAGGCUCAGUGAAGCCCUCAUAGCAGACAAAGACCCUCAUAGUCGUUGCAUUUGUCCUCCUCUGUGCUGCUCUGGUGGACGCAGGAGUGUGUGAGGUUAGUUUGUUGGAGGCAGAAUCAGUGUAGGAGGGGAGGGUUUGAGAAAGCAUAUGACUCUGCAAAGUAGGAUUUGGACAGGUCGCCAAAAGAUGAUGCUUUUAAACAUAAAUUUCUUCAAUGAUCAUUUUUUUAUAUUUGCCAGUAGUAGAGAAGUUAAUUCAACUUUUCUUAUGGCUUUAAUUGGGUGAUAUGGAGUUUUGAAAGCUAUUAUAUAUAUACAUAUAUUACUUUUUAUGACUGAAAAUUCCUUAUGUUUGCAGCACUAGCUAUUUAUUUGACUUGUAACAUGCAUGGGUUAUGGUUAUUAUUGCCACAUUUAUUUUCUUUUUAGAUCCUUCUUUAAAACAUUCUCCACUUUUUUACUGUAAUGCACCAAAUCACGACAUCAGAUUCUUUGGAUGUGGAUCUAUUAUCUACUUGACUAUAAAACUGAUUCUAUAUUAACAAAUCUGAGAUGGCUUUCAUGAGGCAAUGAAAAAACUAUAUUACAAAACAAUAAUACAACAAAAUUAUAUUUGCUCAUAUAUAUGGAGUAAAUUGUAAACCGCUCAGGAAAUCAACACCAGAAACCACAGGUUGCAUGUGACAGUUGUCAGCAGCUGCGUCAUAAAACUGGAGUUGGAUUUUUCAUUGUACCUGUUCACCUGACUUGCUUCUGGUUUUACAGCAGCAAUAAGAGUUUCCCACAGAUGACUCUUAGUCACAAAGUUCAGACGUAGUGACAGAUUUGGCUUCUGAGGAAAAUACUACAGCACAACUACAGUGUACAUCAGCGCAACUGACUGACUUAAGAAACAGUGCAGAAUCUUGUGUUUCUAGUUAUUCAUUCUGAUCUAACGUUACUGUGUAAAGUGAGCUGGAUUCAUCAUUUUGAGUUGUGUUGUUUCUGUUUUAAUCUGUUCUGUUCCACUGCAGUACAUGUGAAUACAGUAGCUGCAAAGAGACUAUCACAAGACAAAAGUUACUAUAAGUGUAUAGAGUUUUAUGUGUGAGUCCACAUGGAAACACGGGCCCGACCCCAACACUCUUACGUCAGCUCCUCGUUCUGCCUUUUAUUUAGAAACAAAAGGGCUGCCCUGUGGUUUCACACUGUUCUGAAGGUUACAGUAAUUUGAAAUGUUUUUGAGAGUUUUAUAGUUCUACUAUAAGGUUUUUACAGUGGCUGCUUAUUUGCAUUUGACCUUUUAAAGUCUAGAGCAGUCCCAGACGUUUUUGUGUUCAGUGUUGACUUGAAGAAAACAGUGAUUCCGUUUGUUAAGGUUCCAAACCUGUAAAUUGUGAUUAUUUCUGUUUUAGUGCACAAAAUCAGAACAUACACUGAAUAUGAAUGAAUAAAUUUUGUUCAGUCCAUGAAGGGAGAAUAAAAGGUUGUUCAAAAUCUCAGCUGAGUGUCCAUCAUACGGCCAACGCAGAGACACAAUCAUUCACCGUUAUCCCCAAGGACAGUGUUUAAUGUGGAGGGUACACUGUUUUUCCUUAAUUUUUAUUUUCGUUACAGGU